UUGCAGAGCCUCAUAGAUUUCAAUGGCAAAAAUGUGCAAUUAGUAACUAACUAGUAGUAGCUUUUAAAUAGUUACAAGUAAGAUUUAAGGAAAGAGAGCACUUCCACUUCAAGUCGUUAAUCUUCUGAACAUGAUCUCCACUGUUCUUAAUUUGUCUGUCCCUUUCAGCCAAGGGCCCAAUUACAUUUGCAAGAAAUGUAGCUGACUGAUAAGGGAUGCUACCAAUGUUGGAGACGGACCACAAUGAGCGUUGUAAUUCAGGUAAUGAUUCGUCCUUUCAAAGCUCCAUCAGGACUUCCAACAUUUGAACAACCUGCCAGUAGACAAAAGGAGGGUAACGGUCCCAACAGCUAUGUUAACCUUAAUUUAGAUCGAACACAGAAAUACUAGACUAGUCGCAAUCCUAAGAGUGGACUGAGAAAGCAAUUACCUCCUACGUCCUCUGGAGGAAGUUGUACCCAAGAACAUGACAAAGUUUUUGGGCUAGCAAAGGUACAUGAAACAGAGAUGCCUCUUAGACAUAUGGUAUCCAGCGUUGGUAGUAUCAGGUUCAAUCAGCAACAUUUAUUUAUACAAGUGCUAUAUUAAGAACAAUGGGGAUUUUAUAAGACUCCUCUCUUUUAGACUGGUGUCUUUAGAAGUCAAAGCACUGUUUAGUAGCAUCCUGACUGAGAAAACACUAAGGGUAAAUGGGCCGCAGCUAACAUAAGACCUCUUCUGGAAAGACAAAAUUAAGUUUAAUUUCAUUAUCCACCUGCUAGACACAUGUCCAGACAAAACAUAUUUAAUUAUAGAUUUUUAAUCAGGUCACCAUCUUCCCAUUUGUAGCUAACCUGCAUGUGGAAUAUUUUUAAGAGACUGCUUUGACUGGUACAAGGACAACAAAUUUCAACAUCAGUUUGACCAGUGAGCAGGAAGAAGACAGUAAGCUGCAGUUGCUAGACAUCUGUGUUCAUGUGAAGUGCGAUAAGAUAAAGGCCACAGGAAACUCACCCUCACUGAUAAACACCUUAAAUCCAACUGUAACCACCACUAACGACACAAGAUCACCGGUGAGGACCUUCCUACACAGAGCAGAAUAUCUAGUCAGUGAGGAGAGGACAGAGACAAUAAGACCCAUCGACUGGGAAGGGGUCAUCGACCAAGAGCCAGCUGAUGCUAUCUGACACUAGAGAACCAUGACAAGCACAAUAUUGUCUCCUACAUAUUACUGCUUGUUACGUGAAGUUCAUCUUGCUAAAAUGACCUUUUUAACUUCACAUCCCUCCAAUAACAGUUAAUUGAAUACAAAACAAUUAAACUCUAAAUUUCCUGCAGAUGUUUCAAAUUAAAAGCUUUCCAUGACUGGUGGGGGAUUAUGCUACAUUUGAGCAGCUGGAAGGCUUUUGUUUUGAAACA
Molecule: long non-coding RNA, 1398 nt
Organism: Micropterus dolomieu (smallmouth bass)
Lineage: Eukaryota; Metazoa; Chordata; Actinopteri; Centrarchiformes; Centrarchidae
Exons: 3
Source: RefSeq, a predicted model, not a curated record